AGUGAACGCUGGCGGUAGGCCUAACACAUGCAAGUCGAACGGCAGCACAGUAAGAGCUUGCUCUUACGGGUGGCGAGUGGCGGACGGGUGAGGAAUACAUCGGAAUCUACUUUUUCGUGGGGGAUAACGUAGGGAAACUUACGCUAAUACCGCAUACGACCUACGGGUGAAAGCAGGGGAUCUUCGGACCUUUCGCGAUUGAAUGAGCCGAUGUCGGAUUAGCUAGUUGGCGGGGUAAAGGCCCACCAAGGCGACGAUCCGUAGCUGGUCUGAGAGGAUGGUCAGCCACACUGGAACUGAGACACGGUCCAGACUCCUACGGGAGGCAGCAGUGGGGAAUAUUGGACAAUGGGCGCAAGCCUGAUCCAGCCAUACCGCGUGGGUGAAGAAGGCCUUCGGGUUGUAAAGCCCUUUUGUUGGGAAAGAAAAGCAGCAGGUUAAUACCCCGCUGUUCUGACGGUACCCAAAGAAUAAGCACCGGCUAACUUCGUG
Molecule: ribosomal RNA, 492 nt
Filed under: uncultured bacterium
Lineage: Bacteria
Description: partial 16S ribosomal RNA
Rfam family: Bacterial small subunit ribosomal RNA
Source: RNAcentral